This 253-nucleotide ribosomal RNA is filed under the name uncultured bacterium. Its description in RNAcentral is "partial 16S ribosomal RNA". It matches the Rfam family "Bacterial small subunit ribosomal RNA", at positions 524 to 776 of the family's 1533-position model. The record is from RNAcentral.
UACGAAGGGUGCUAGCGUUGUUCGGAAUUACUGGGCGUAAAGCGCGUGUAGGUGGUUCUCACAGCCAGUGGUGAAAUCCCGGAGCUUAACUCCGGAAUUGCCAUUGGUACUAGAGAGCUAGAGUUUGUUAGAGGAAUGUGGAAUUUCUAGUGUAGCGGUGAAAUGCGUAGAUAUUAGAAGGAACACCAGUGGCGAAGGCGACAUUCUGGGACAAUACUGACACUAAGGCGCGAAAGCGUGGGGAGCAAACAGG